UGGGGAAUAUUGGGCAAUGGGCGCAAGCCUGACCCAGCAACGCCGCGUGAAGGAAGAAGGCUUUCGGGUUGUAAACUUCUUUUAAGAGGGAAGAGCAGAAGACGGUACCUCAUGAAUAAGCCACGGCUAACUACGUGCCAGCAGCCGCGGUAAUACGUAGGUGGCAAGCGUUGUCCGGAUUUACUGGGUGUAAAGGGCGCGUAGGCGGGAUGGCAAGUCAGAUGUGAAAUCCAUGGGCUCAACCCAUGAACUGCAUUUGAAACUGUCGUUCUUGAGUAUCGGAGAGGCAAGCGGAAUUCCUAGUGUAGCGGUGAAAUGCGUAGAUAUUAGGAGGAACACCAGUGGCGAAGGCGGCUUGCUGGACGACAACUGACGCUGAGGCGCGAAAGCGUGGGGAGCAAACAGGAUU
RNAcentral lists this ribosomal RNA (409 nucleotides) under uncultured Clostridium sp. RNAcentral's name for it is "bacterial SSU rRNA". It matches the Rfam family "Bacterial small subunit ribosomal RNA", at positions 355 to 779 of the family's 1533-position model. Lineage: Bacteria; Bacillati; Bacillota; Clostridia; Eubacteriales; Clostridiaceae. The record is from RNAcentral.